CCAAUGAAGAAAGGAAAAGAACACAAAAGAAGCAAAUGAAAGAAACACGCGCUCCGCUUGUUUUCAUUCCAUUUGUUCUUUCUGUUCUUUUCGUUCUUCAUUCACUUCUCCUCUUGUUCCCUUUGCCUUUAAAUUAAUUACAAAUGAAGUGCGUGAAUUAAAUUUAAAGGCAAAGCAAACAAGAACGUGAUGAAUGAGUUGUUCCUUUGUGUUUCUUUUGCUCACUUGAAUGGUAAUGAAAUGUAAUGUAAGCACGCAUUCAAGUGAGAAAAAGAAGAACACAAAGAGAACAACAGAAAACACCACGUUCUUUGUUUCUUUU
Molecule: non-coding RNA, 322 nt
Filed under: Symbiodinium sp. CCMP2430
Lineage: Eukaryota; Dinophyceae; Suessiales; Symbiodiniaceae
Source: RNAcentral